Molecule: small RNA, 124 nt
Filed under: Salmonella enterica subsp. enterica serovar Agona
Lineage: Bacteria; Pseudomonadati; Pseudomonadota; Gammaproteobacteria; Enterobacterales; Enterobacteriaceae
Description: partial RtT sRNA
Rfam family: RtT RNA
About the family: This family represents a bacterial cis-regulatory element known as RtT RNA. The exact function of RtT is unknown although it is thought that it may be involved in changing the cellular response in relation to amino acid starvation.
Source: RNAcentral
GUCUGCACUUGUCGGGGAAGGGUGAGAACCUUCGAUUAAGGUUCGACUCGAGCGAAAGCGAGAGAACGUUGCCAACGGCAACGGCCCGUAGGGUGAGGAGCGAAGCGACGAAUAAUCCUUCCCC